GCCGACCUUGAAAUACCACCCUUUAAUGUUUGAUGUUCUAACGUGGACCCGUGAUCCGGGUUGCGGACAGUGUCUGGUGGGUAGUUUGACUGGGGCGGUCUCCUCCUAAAGAGUAACGGAGGAGCACGAAGGUUGGCUAAUCCUGGUCGGACAUCAGGAGGUUAGUGCAAUGGCAUAAGCCAGCUUGACUGCGAGCGUGACGGCGCGAGCAGGUGCGAAAGCAGGUCAUAGUGAUCCGGUGGUUCUGAAUGGAAGGGCCAUCGCUCAACGGAUAAAAGGUACUCCGGGGAUAACAGGCUGAUACCGCCCAAGAGUUCAUAUCGACGGCGGUGUUUGGCACCUCGAUGUCGGCUCAUCACAUCCUGGGGCUGAAGUAGGUCCCAAGGGUAUGGCUGUUCGCCAUUUAAAGUGGUACGCGAGCUGGGUUUAGAACGUCGUGAGACAGUUCGGUCCCUAUCUGCCGUGGGCGCUGGAGAACUGAGGGGGGCUGCUCCUAGUACGAGAGGACCGGAGUGGACGCAUCACUGGUGUUCGGGUUGUCAUGCCAAUGGCACUGCCCGGUAGCUAAAUGCGGAAGAGAUAAGUGCUGAAAGCAUCUAAGCACGAAACUUGCCCCGAG
RNAcentral lists this ribosomal RNA (619 nucleotides) under Salmonella enterica. RNAcentral's name for it is "partial 23S ribosomal RNA". It matches the Rfam family "Bacterial large subunit ribosomal RNA", at positions 2185 to 2803 of the family's 2925-position model. Lineage: Bacteria; Pseudomonadati; Pseudomonadota; Gammaproteobacteria; Enterobacterales; Enterobacteriaceae. RNAcentral also lists the same sequence under 2 other names. The record is from RNAcentral.